Molecule: ribosomal RNA, 518 nt
Filed under: uncultured bacterium
Lineage: Bacteria
Description: bacterial SSU rRNA
Rfam family: Bacterial small subunit ribosomal RNA
Source: RNAcentral
GGCUCAGAACGAACGCUGGCGGCGUGCUUAACACAUGCAAGUCGAACGCGAAAGGGGACUUCGGUCCUGAGUAAAGUGGCGCACGGGUGAGUAACGCGUAGAUAACCUGUCUUCAUGUCUGGAAUAAUACGCCAAAGGGGUACUAAUACCGGAUAUUCUUGCUUUUCAUAAGUUAUGCAAGCAAAGGUGGCCUCUGCAUAUGCUACUGCAUGAAGAGGGGUCUGCGUACCAUUAGCUAGUAGGUGGGGUAAUGGCCUACCUAGGCGACGAUGGUUAGCGGGUCUGAGAGGAUGAUCCGCCACACUGGCACUGGAACACGGGCCAGACUCCUACGGGAGGCAGCAGUGAGGAAUAUUGCGCAAUGGGGGAAACCCUGACGCAGCGACGCCGCGUGAAGUGAGGAAGGCCUUCGGGUCGUAAAGCUCUGUCAAGAGGAAAGAAGUGUACAAUGGCUAAUACCUGUUGUAUUUGACGGUACCUCUAAAGGAAGCACCGGCUAACUCCGUGCCAGCCGCCGC